This 637-nucleotide ribosomal RNA is filed under the name uncultured bacterium. RNAcentral's name for it is "bacterial SSU rRNA". It matches the Rfam family "Bacterial small subunit ribosomal RNA", at positions 607 to 1244 of the family's 1533-position model. The record is from RNAcentral.
GCUUAACCGGAGAAGUGCAUCGGAAACUGGGUAACUUGAGUGCAGAAGAGGACAGUGGAACUCCAUGUGUAGCGGUGGAAUGCGUAGAUAUAUGGAAGAACACCAGUGGCGAAGGCGGCUGUCUAGCCUGUAACUGACGCUGAGGCUCGAAAGCAUGGGUAGCGAACAGGAUUAGAUACCCUGGUAGUCCAUGCCGUAAACGAUGAGUGCUAGGUGUUGGAGGGUUUCCGCCCUUCAGUGCCGCAGCUAACGCAUUAAGCACUCCGCCUGGGGAGUACGACCGCAAGGUUGAAACUCAAAGGAAUUGACGGGGGCCCGCACAAGCGGUGGAGCAUGUGGUUUAAUUCGAAGCUACGCGAAGAACCUUACCAGGUCUUGACAUCUUCUGCCAAUCUUAGAGAUAAGACGUUCCCUUCGGGGACAGAAUGACAGGUGGUGCAUGGUUGUCGUCAGCUCGUGUCGUGAGAUGUUGGGUUAAGUCCCGCAACGAGCGCAACCCUUAUUAUCAGUUGCCAGCAUUCAGUUGGGCACUCUGGUGAGACUGCCGGUGACAAACCGGAGGAAGGUGGGGAUGACGUCAAAUCAUCAUGCCCCUUAUGACCUGGGCUACACACGUGCUACAAUGGACGGUACAACG